AGCUGGCCAAGAGUCCGCAGGAUGCAGUGGACGAAGGUGUUGGGGCUGGGGCUGGGGGCUGCUGCCCUCUUGGGGCUGGGGAUCAUCCUGGGCCACUUUGCCAUCCCCAAAAAAGCCAACUCACCGGCCCCCCAGGACCUGGACCUGGCGAUCCUGGAGACAGUCAUGGGGCAGCUGGAUGCCCACAGGAUCCGGGAGAACCUCAGGUGAGAGGUGGGGCCAUCUGCUCCUCUGUUUGCCAGAGGCCCCCUCCCUGAUGCUGGCCCUGCCCCUCCCUCUGUCCACCCCGCAGAGAACUCUCCAGGGAGCCACACCUGGCCUCCAGCCCUCGGGAUGAGGACCUGGUGCAGCUGCUGCUGCAGCGCUGGAAGGACCCAGGGUCAGGCCUGGACUCGGCCGAGGCCUCCACAUACGAGGUGCUGCUGUCCUUCCCUAGCCAGGAGCAGCCCAACGUCGUGGACGUCGGUGAGGUCCUGCCCAGCCUUGGGAAUGCCCAGAGGGGGAGCUGCUGGGCCCAGCCAUGACACUGCCACCCCCUCCAACAGUGGGCCCCACUGGGGACAUCAUCCACUCCUGCCACCGGACUGAGGAGAACGUGACCGGGGAGCAAGGGGGGCCAGAUGUGGUACAACCCUAUGCCGCCUAUGCUCCUUCUGGAACCCCACAGGGCCUCCUCGUCUAUGCCAACCAGGGUGCGGAAGAAGACUUUAAGGAGCUACAGACUCAGGGCAUCAAACUCGAAGGCACCAUUGCCCUGACUCGCUAUGGGGGUGUAGGGCGUGGGGCCAAGGCUGUGAACGCUGCCAAGCAUGGGGUAGCCGGGGUGCUGGUGUACACAGACCCUGCCGACAUCAACGAUGGGCUGAGCUCACCCAAUGAAACCUUUCCCAACUCCUGGUACCUGCCCCCCUCAGGAGUGGAGCGAGGCUCCUACUAUGAGUAUUUUGGGGACCCUCUGACUCCCUACCUUCCAGCCGUCCCCUCUUCCUUCCGCGUGGACCUUGCCAAUGUCUCUGGAUUUCCCCCAAUUCCUACACAGCCCAUUGGCUUCCAGGAUGCAAGAGACCUGCUCUGGGCCUCUUCCUCCUCCCCAGUAACCUCAACGGAACUUUGGCCCCAGCCACCUGGCAGGGAGCACUGGGCUGCCGCUACAGGUUGGGUCCCGGCUUCCGGCCUGACGGAGACUUCCCAGCAGACAGCCAGGUGAGUGUGAGCGUCUACAACCGGCUGGAGCUGAGGAACUCUUCCAACGUCCUGGGCAUCAUCCGCGGGGCUGUGGAGCCUGAUCGCUACGUGCUAUAUGGGAACCACCGAGACAGCUGGGUGCACGGGGCUGUGGACCCCAGCAGUGGCACCGCCGUCCUCCUGGAGCUCUCCCGUGUCCUGGGGACCCUGCUGAAGAAGGGCACCUGGCGUCCUCGCAGAUCAAUCGUGUUUGCGAGCUGGGGGGCUGAGGAGUUUGGGCUCAUUGGCUCCACGGAAUUCACAGAAGAGUUCUUCAACAAGCUGCAGGAGCGCACGGUGGCCUACAUCAACGUGGACAUCUCGGUGUUUGCCAACGCUACCCUUAGGGUGCAGGGGACGCCCCCUGUCCAGAGUGUCGUCUUCUCUGCAACCAAAGAGAUCCGCUCACCAGGCCCUGGCGACCUGAGCAUCUACGACAACUGGAUCCGGUACUUCAACCGCAGCAGCCCGGUGUACGGCCUCGUCCCCAGCUUGGGUUCUCUGGGUGCUGGCAGCGACUAUGCACCCUUCAUUCACUUCCUGGGCAUCUCCUCCAUGGACAUCGCCUAUACCUAUGACCGGAGCAAGACUUCAGCCAGGAUCUACCCCACCUACCACACAGCCUUUGACACCUUUGACUAUAUGGACAAGUUUUUGGACCCAGGCUUCAGCAGCCAUCAGGCUGUGGCCCGGACAGCGGGGAGUGUGAUUCUCCGGCUCAGUGACAGCUUCUUCCUGCCCCUCAAAGUCAGUGACUACAGUGAGACACUCCGCAGCUUCCUGCAGGCAGCCGAGCAAGACCUCGGGGCUCUGCUGGAGCAGCACAGCAUCAGCCUGGGUAUGCAUAGCCGUGACCCUGAGGCAUGGGGAGCCCUGCACCCCCAGGACUAAGCCACUGCUUGUUCCUCACAGGGCCUCUGGUGACUGCAGUGGAGAAGUUUGAGGCAGAAGCUUCAGCCUUGGGCCAACGCAUAUCAACACUGCAGAAGGGCAGCCCUGACCCCCUGCAGGUCCGGAUGCUCAAUGACCAGUUGAUGCUCUUGGAACGGACCUUUCUGAACCCUAGAGCCUUCCCAGAGGAACGCUACUACAGCCAUGUGCUCUGGGCACCUCGCACGGGCUCUGUAGCCACAUUCCCGGGCCUAUCCAAUGCCUGCUCCAGGGCCAGGGACACAGCUUCUGGAUCUGAAGCUUGGGCUGAGGUCCAGAGACAGCUCAGCAUUGUGGUGACAGCCCUGGAGGGUGCAGCAGCCACCCUGAGGCCUGUGGCUGACCUCUGACCCCAGCCCUCUUUCUUCAGCCCUCUCUUUACCCC
Molecule: small RNA, 2539 nt
Filed under: Pongo abelii (Sumatran orangutan)
Lineage: Eukaryota; Metazoa; Chordata; Mammalia; Primates; Hominidae
Description: retained intron
Source: RNAcentral